This 253-nucleotide ribosomal RNA is filed under the name uncultured bacterium. RNAcentral's name for it is "partial 16S ribosomal RNA". It matches the Rfam family "Bacterial small subunit ribosomal RNA", at positions 524 to 776 of the family's 1533-position model. The record is from RNAcentral.
UACGAGGGGGGCGAGCGUUGUUCGGAAUUAUUGGGCGUAAAGGGCGCGUAGGCGGUCGGAUAAGUCUUGUGUGAAAUCUUCGGGCUCAACUCGUAGUCUGCACAGGAAACUAUCUGGCUUGAGUGUGGGAGAGGUGAGUGGAAUUCCUGGUGUAGCGGUGAAAUGCGUAGAUAUCAUUUGGAACGCCAAUGGUGAAAACAGGUAGCUGGGGAAGUGCUGACGCUGAGACACGAAAGCCAGGGGAGCGAACGGG